Molecule: long non-coding RNA, 230 nt
Filed under: Mustela putorius furo (domestic ferret)
Lineage: Eukaryota; Metazoa; Chordata; Mammalia; Carnivora; Mustelidae
Description: lncRNA (ENSMPUG00000027970.1)
Source: RNAcentral
GACCAGGGCUCCAAAUGAGUCCAAAUGGGUACUGUUUAGAGCAAGACACUAACCGGGACACUGCUGACACUUGGGGCCAGACCAUCCUCUGUGGUGGUGGGGCCAUUCUGGGGACUCUGGCCUGCCCCCCAAAUGCCACAGCAACCCCCAUCUCCUCUGUGAUGACCCAACAUUUCUGCAGAUUUUGCCAAGUAUCUCCUGGAGUGGCAGCCAUGUCAACCCCAGUCUGA